UACGAAGGGGGCUAGCGUUGUUCGGAAUUACUGGGCGUAAAGCGUAUGCAGGCGGAUCGUUAAGUCGGGGGUGAAAUCCCGAGGCUCAACCUCGGAACUGCCUUCGAUACUGGCGAUCUUCGAGUCCGGGAGAGGUGAGUGGAACUCCGAGUGUAGAGGUGAAAUUCGUAGAUAUUCGGAAGAACACCAGUGGCGAAGGCGGCGAUCUGGACGAUGACUGACGCUGAGACGCGAAAGCGUGGGGAGCAAACAGG
Molecule: ribosomal RNA, 254 nt
Filed under: uncultured bacterium
Lineage: Bacteria
Description: partial 16S ribosomal RNA
Rfam family: Bacterial small subunit ribosomal RNA
Source: RNAcentral